Pygocentrus nattereri (red-bellied piranha) is the source of this 597-nucleotide long non-coding RNA. RefSeq lists it as uncharacterized. The transcript has 2 exons. The record is from RefSeq and is a predicted model, not a curated record. Lineage: Eukaryota; Metazoa; Chordata; Actinopteri; Characiformes; Serrasalmidae.
AGAGUUGCUCCGUCCACCUCUCUUUUGUGGAGAAACUCAGCACUGAGAGAGAGAACUGGACCAGAGCAACUGGAUUAGACAGAACACACUGGACUGGACUGGAUUUACCGGACCGGGCUCACUUUAGUCACGGUUUAGUUUAACUUUUUUUUGUACAGCUCCAGUAAUGUGACUCAAACCUGGAGCUUCACAGUUGCAUCAGUCGCACAGACUUGCGUCCAGUUUUCUCUGGUGGAGAGACAUGGCGCUGGGGAAGAACCGGACUGGAAUAACUGAAACGGACUGGACUCGCUGGCUUGGACUGACUCUGCAGUAAAGUGUGUCAAAGCUGGAGCUUCACAGUUGCUCAGACUUGUUCACAACUCUGUCCAGCAGCUAUGAGGAGCUAAACAUGUGCUGUGGAAUGGCCUUCACACCGGUCAGCUCACGCAGUACCAGGCAUAUAAGUGGAAGGCAGUGGUGUUUCUUCAGACUGGUCUGCUGUGAAAGUUAAAGCUGGUAGAAACUGACCACGGUGUCAGGUGCCGUCCGCUGGGUUUGUUUGUGAAGACACUGUUUUCCAUUUUAUAUGAAGCAUAAAAUUGACUUAAUAACAAA